This 519-nucleotide ribosomal RNA is filed under the name uncultured bacterium. RNAcentral describes it as "bacterial SSU rRNA". It matches the Rfam family "Bacterial small subunit ribosomal RNA", at positions 995 to 1511 of the family's 1533-position model. The record is from RNAcentral.
CAACUCUAGAGAUAGAGUCUUCCCCUUCGGGGGACAAAGUGACAGGUGGUGCAUGGUUGUCGUCAGCUCGUGUCGUGAGAUGUUGGGUUAAGUCCCGCAACGAGCGCAACCCUUAAGCUUAGUUGCCAGCAUUAAGUUGGGCACUCUAAGUUGACUGCCGGUGACAAACCGGAGGAAGGUGGGGAUGACGUCAAAUCAUCAUGCCCCUUAUGAUUUGGGCUACACACGUGCUACAAUGGACAAUACAAAGGGCAGCUAAACCGUGAGGUCAUGCAAAUCCCAUAAAGUUGUUCUCAGUUCGGAUUGUAGUCUGCAACUCGACUACAUGAAGCUGGAAUCGCUAGUAAUCGUAGAUCAGCAUGCUACGGUGAAUACGUUCCCGGGUCUUGUACACACCGCCCGUCACACCACGAGAGUCUGUAACACCCGAAGCCGGUGGAGUAACCAUUUAUGGAGCUAGCCGUCGAAGGUGGGACAAAUGAUUGGGGUGAAGUCGUAACAAGGUAGCCGUAUCGGAAG